This 460-nucleotide ribosomal RNA is filed under the name uncultured bacterium. RNAcentral's name for it is "partial 16S ribosomal RNA". It matches the Rfam family "Bacterial small subunit ribosomal RNA", at positions 338 to 795 of the family's 1533-position model. The record is from RNAcentral.
CCUACGUGUGGCAGCAGUGAGGAAUAUUGGUCAAUGGGCGCGAGCCUGAACCAGCCAAGUAGCGUGAAGGAUGACUGCCCUACGGGUUGUAAACUUCUUUUAUCAAGGAAUAAAGUGAGGCACGUGUGCCUUUUUGUAUGUACUUUAUGAAUAAGCAUCGGCUAACUCCGUGCCAGCAGCCGCGGUAAUACGGAGGAUCCGAGCGUUAUCCGGAUUUAUUGGGUUUAAAGGGUGCGUAGAUGGGUUGUUAAGUCAGUUGUUAAAGUUUGCGGCUCAACCGUAAAAUUGCAAUUGAUACUGGCAGCCUUGAGGACAGUUGAGGUAGGCGGAAUUCGUGGUGUAGCGGUGAAAUGCUUAGAUAUCACGAAGAACUCCGAUUGCGAAGGCAGCAUACUAAACGGCCACUGACAUUGAUGCUCGAAAGUGUGGGUAUCAAACAGGAUUAGAUACCCCUGUAGUC